Long non-coding RNA from Pygocentrus nattereri (red-bellied piranha), 3660 nucleotides. The record is from Ensembl. NCBI's taxonomy places the organism in Eukaryota, Metazoa, Chordata, Actinopteri, Characiformes, Serrasalmidae.
CUGAACAAACACAAGAAGAGCCAGAGCUGAGCAGAGAAACAGCUCCAGUGGAACAUUCCACUAUAGAGGAAAACAAUAUGCCAGAUUUCACCUGCAUGUUCAAGCAGAGAGAAGACCAUCAGGAUCAUGAAUGGUGCUCUAGCAGUGACCUCUACCUCACUGAAAGUGACAGUGAUGAAGAUCCCCUGCCCUCGUCUGACCAUCAGUCCAUGGACACACCAAACACUUUUGAAGAGAAUCCCUGGUUUCCUCCUCACAGGUCAGAGAAUGUUGGAGGAAUGGCCAGGGCCUCUGAAACUGACCCCCAACCCAGGAUGAAGACCCAGCAAAGCAAUGUAAAAGGGAAAAGCAGGAGCUCUUUCUUUCAGUGGGUCUUUCAGUCGGCACUACAAGCUCUCCUGAUGAUCUUCACUCUGUGCUACAGCUCCUCACAGCCUCACAGAGGUGAAGCUCAUAGUGAUGAAGUUUGGAGCAGAGAAGAAUCCAACAGGAACCACAGCCCCGGGUAGAGAGAGACAGAGACAGAGACAGAGACAGAGAGAGAGAGAACGGGAGAAGCAUUAUUCCUCCCUCACCCUCGAGUGCUCACAGUGGUGAUUAAACUGAGAGGAUUCACAGUUUAAUAGACAGAAUGCUGUGAUGUGAGGGAGAACAGAAGAGCUGGUUCUGUUUCCACGUGGAUCUGCUAAGAGAAACUUCUUUAAAACGUGUGGAGCUUCAGAAGCUUUUCAUUCAUUUUCAUAUAUAAAUACAGAACUGAUAUACAUGUAAAUCUCCUGUACUGGAGGACUUUGCUUUUCUGGUGGACGUUAAAAUUAUUUUUCCAUCAAAUAUUAAAAUCAGUCACUCAUACCAGCAGUCAGACUGGUCUACCAGUAACCAGUGAGUGAUGCUCAGUGUUGAAGAAUUUGAUGAUUAUUGAUGUCCUACACCAUCUACCAUCUUUAGCAGACCCUCAGUCCCAUAGCAAACAGAUUAGUUUGUGAAAUUCUGACAUUAAUGCGAAGUUUUCACUAAAACUACAAACAAAUAAAUUUAGAACAGGAAUCUUCCUCAAUGUGGAGGUACAGUUGGAGGUAUAAGAAUUGAGUGUGGAGGGAAAGUCUACAGUAAAGUACAGUUGGGGGUAUAAACAGUGGAUGUGGAUGAAAAGUCUACAGUAAAGUACAGUUGGAGGUAUAAACAGUGGAUGUGGAGGGAAAGUCUACAGUAAAGUACAGUUGGAGGUAUAAACAGUGGAUGUGGAUGAAAAGUCUACAGUAAAGUACAGUUGGAGGUAUAAGAAGUGGGUGUGGAUGAAAAGUCUACAGUAAAGUACAGUUGGGGGUAUAAGAAGUGGAUGUGGAGGGAAAGUCUACAGGAAAGUACAGUUGGGGGUAUAAGAAGUGGAUGUGGAGGGAAAGUCUACAGUAAAGUACAGUUGGAGGUAUAAACAGUGGAUGUGGAGGGAAAGUCUACAGUAAAGUACAGUUGGAGGUAUAAACAGUGGAUGUGGAUGAAAAGUCUACAGUAAAGUACAGUUGGGGGUAUAAACAGUGGAUGUGGAGGGAAAGUCUACAGUAAAGUACAGUUGGAGGUAUAAGAAGUGGGUGUGGAUGAAAAGUCUACAGUAAAGUACAGUUGGGGGUAUAAGAAGUGGAUGUGGAGGGAAAGUCUACAGGAAAGUACAGUUGGGGGUAUAAGAAGUGGAUGUGGAGGGAAAGUCUACAGUAAAGUACAGUUGGAGGUAUAAACAGUGGAUGUGGAGGGAAAGUCUACAGUAAAGUACAGUUGGAGGUAUAAACAGUGGAUGUGGAUGAAAAGUCUACAGUAAAGUACAGUUGGAGGUAUAAACAGUGGAUGUGGAGGGAAAGUCUACAGUAAAGUACAGUUGGGGGUAUAAGAAGUGGGUGUGGAUGAAAAGUCUACAGUAAAGUACAGUUGGGGGUAUAAACAGUGGAUGUGGAUGAAAAGUCUACAGUAAAGUACAGUUGGGGGUAUAAACAGUGGAUGUGAAUGAAAAGUCUACAGUAAAGUACAGUUGGAGGUAUAAGAAUUGAGUGUGGAGGGAAAGUCUACAGUAAAGUACAGUUGGGGGUAUAAACAGUGGAUGUGGAUGAAAAGUCUACAGUAAAGUACAGUUGGAGGUAUAAACAGUGGAUGUGGAGGGAAAGUCUACAGUAAAGUACAGUUGGAGGUAUAAACAGUGGAUGUGGAUGAAAAGUCUACAGUAAAGUACAGUUGGAGGUAUAAGAAGUGGGUGUGGAUGAAAAGUCUACAGUAAAGUACAGUUGGGGGUAUAAGAAGUGGAUGUGGAGGGAAAGUCUACAGGAAAGUACAGUUGGGGGUAUAAGAAGUGGAUGUGGAGGGAAAGUCUACAGUAAAGUACAGUUGGAGGUAUAAACAGUGGAUGUGGAGGGAAAGUCUACAGUAAAGUACAGUUGGAGGUAUAAACAGUGGAUGUGGAUGAAAAGUCUACAGUAAAGUACAGUUGGGGGUAUAAACAGUGGAUGUGGAGGGAAAGUCUACAGUAAAGUACAGUUGGAGGUAUAAGAAGUGGGUGUGGAUGAAAAGUCUACAGUAAAGUACAGUUGGGGGUAUAAGAAGUGGAUGUGGAGGGAAAGUCUACAGGAAAGUACAGUUGGGGGUAUAAGAAGUGGAUGUGGAGGGAAAGUCUACAGUAAAGUACAGUUGGAGGUAUAAACAGUGGAUGUGGAGGGAAAGUCUACAGUAAAGUACAGUUGGAGGUAUAAACAGUGGAUGUGGAUGAAAAGUCUACAGUAAAGUACAGUUGGAGGUAUAAGAAGUGGGUGUGGAUGAAAAGUCUACAGUAAAGUACAGUUGGAGGUAUAAACAGUGGAUGUGGAGGGAAAGUCUACAGUAAAGUACAGUUGGGGGUAUAAGAAGUGGGUGUGGAUGAAAAGUCUACAGUAAAGUACAGUUGGGGGUAUAAACAGUGGAUGUGGAUGAAAAGUCUACAGUAAAGUACAGUUGGGGGUAUAAACAGUGGAUGUGAAUGAAAAGUCUACAGUAAAGUACAGUUGGGGGUAUAAACAGUGGAUGUGAAUGAAAAGUCUACAGUAAAGUACAGUUGGAGGUAUAAGAAGUGGGUGUGGACCAAAAGUCUACAGUGAAGUACAGUUGGAGGUAUAAGAAGUGGUUGUGGAGGGAAAGUCUACAGUAAAAUACAGUUGGAGGUAUAAGAAGUGGAUGUGGAGGGAAAGUCUACAGUAAAAUACAGUUGGGGUUAUAAACAGUGGGCGUGGAUGGAACGCUUGUGUUGGCUCAGCGCUGCCUCUGCUGGAUUGGUGGGGAUCUGGUCUGGUAGGAAAGGAAUCUGCUCCACGCUGAAACUUGGAAGCUUGGCUGAUCUCCAACAGCAGGUUUGAGCAAAUCUGCCCUCCAAACUCAAACAACAAACUCUUUCUUAACUUAUAAAUCAGAAGAGUGUAGGACUUUUACACUUAUGGUCAUUCAUCAGUGUAACAUUGUGGAUGUUCUAAGAACAAUUGGAGCAAUAUCCACGUUUUGUAUUUCAUAAACAUAUAAAUAAUUGAAUGUGUAUUUAAAACCACAUUAUAAAUAAAAAUAUCUGAUAAGACGUCUAGAUGCAGCAUGAAAAAAUGAGUAAUAAAAUCUUAUACUGUCAUUCUGUCUGAGAGUGUUACUGCAUCAUUACAA